CAGCCGCCGCGGGAAUACGAAGGGGGCUAGCGUUGCUCGGAAUGACUGGGCGUAAAGGGCGCGUAGGCGGCGGCCAAAGUCAGGCGUGAAAUUCCCGGGCUCAACCUGGGGGCUGCGUUUGAUACUUGGUUGCUUGAGUGGGGAAGAGGGUCGUGGAAUUCCCAGUGUAGAGGUGAAAUUCGUAGAUAUUGGGAAGAACACCGGUGGCGAAGGCGGCGACCUGGUCCUUUACUGACGCUGAGGCGCGAAAGCGUGGGGAGCAAACAGGAUUAGAUACCCCCGUAGUCCCUGUCUCUUAUAA
Molecule: ribosomal RNA, 301 nt
Filed under: uncultured bacterium
Lineage: Bacteria
Description: partial 16S ribosomal RNA
Rfam family: Bacterial small subunit ribosomal RNA
Source: RNAcentral